CCUACGGGAGGCAGCAGUGAGGAAUAUUGGUCAAUGGACGCAAGUCUGAACCAGCCAUGCCGCGUGAAGGAAGACGGCUCUAUGAGUUGUAAACUUCUUUUGUACGGGAGUAAACGCAGGUACGCGUACCUGUCUGAAAGUAUCCUACGAAUAAGGAUCGGCUAACUCCGUGCCAGCAGCCGCGGUAAUACGGAGGAUUCAAGCGUUAUCCGGAUUUAUUGGGUUUAAAGGGUGCGUAGGCGGUAGGUUAAGUUAGUGGUGAAAUUCAGAGGCUCAACUUUGGAAUUGCCUUUGAUACUGUUAGGCUGGAGAGCAGUUGAGGUAGGCGGAAUGUGUGGUGUAGCGGUGAAAUGCUUAGAGAUCAUACAGAACACCGAUUGCGAAGGCAGCUUACCAAGCUACUACUGACGUUGAGGCACGAAAGCGUGGGGAGCAAACAGGAUUAGAUACCCUAGUAGUC
RNAcentral lists this ribosomal RNA (460 nucleotides) under uncultured bacterium. RNAcentral's name for it is "partial 16S ribosomal RNA". It matches the Rfam family "Bacterial small subunit ribosomal RNA", at positions 338 to 795 of the family's 1533-position model. The record is from RNAcentral.